Molecule: ribosomal RNA, 253 nt
Filed under: uncultured bacterium
Lineage: Bacteria
Description: partial 16S ribosomal RNA
Rfam family: Bacterial small subunit ribosomal RNA
Source: RNAcentral
UACGUAGGGUGCAAGCGUUGUCCGGAAUUAUUGGGCGUAAAGGGCUCGUAGGCGGUCCAUCGCGUCGGGAGUGAAAAGCUGGGGCUCAACCCCAGUCCUGCUUUCGAUACGGGUGGACUAGAGGUAUGCAGGGGAGAACGGAAUUCCUGGUGUAGCGGUGAAAUGCGCAGAUAUCAGGAGGAACACCGGUGGCGAAGGCGGUUCUCUGGGCAUUACCUGACGCUGAGGCACGAAAGCGUGGGGAGCAAACAGG